GGAAUAUCCAGCCCCUAUUCUGCCCUCUCUAUCUCCUAGUAGUGUUUUUUCUUCUUUGCUUUGAUCUGCUCGAGAGUACGCGGCUGAGGCGACGCGGCCAAGGAUCGAUCAGGGCUUCGGCGUUCCAAAGCUCCGGAGAUGGGGAAGCGUGGAGCGGCGGCAGCUACGAAUAAACAAAAUGGGAAGAAGAAGGCCCUCUCCGUGAAGGAGACCAAACCGAAGGCAGCCAAAGCGAAGAAACCCGUGAAAGCAAAGGGGAAAAAGGAUCCCAAUCAACCCAAGAAGCCAGCCACCGCAUUUUUCAUCUUUCUGGAAGAGUUUAGGCAGACGUACAAGAAGGAUCAUCCCGACGUCAAGGGAGUUGCCGCUAUAGGAAAAGCGGGAGGAGACAUGUGGAAAUCUUUGUCUGACAAGGAGAAGGAGCCUUACCACGCCAAAGCUGCCAAGAGGAAAGCCGACUACGACAAGGAUCUGGAAGCAUACAACAAAAAGAAGGACAACGAGGAGGAGGAAGAGGAGGAGGAGGAGGAUGGAUCCGCCGGAGAAUCAGAGGUAAAAUCCAAGUCUGCUGGCAAUGACGACGACGAAGAAGAGGACGCGGACGAUGACGAUGAUUAGAUGUCGAGAAAGCCAUCGAUCACAACCAGAUUCAAACAAUGUGUAUGCAUUCUUUCUGGUUUAGGCGCCAUUGCUUGGAUGAUAAUCGCUGUUUUUGCAGGAUCUCCAAAGCUUUCCUUCUUUUAUAUGCUGCUUUACACCGACGAGUUUUUCAAACACACACACGCACGCACACUCACACAAAGUUCACGAAAGUCUGGCAGUGUUUUACUUCUACUGUGUGCGAGAUGAACGAAUAAAGAAAGAUAUACCAAUUCAAUCCA
This is an RNA transcript of Selaginella moellendorffii, 881 nucleotides long. It is a transcript of the gene named high mobility group B protein 3, with no coding region annotated. NCBI's taxonomy places the organism in Eukaryota, Viridiplantae, Streptophyta, Lycopodiopsida, Selaginellales, Selaginellaceae. The transcript is spliced from 9 exons. The record is from RefSeq and is a predicted model, not a curated record.